This 406-nucleotide long non-coding RNA is filed under the name Nicotiana benthamiana. RNAcentral's name for it is "long non-coding RNA (NBEN_LNC022922)". The record is from RNAcentral. Lineage: Eukaryota; Viridiplantae; Streptophyta; Magnoliopsida; Solanales; Solanaceae.
GAGGGUAGUGUGUACGCAGACCUUACCCCUACCGUUGGGUAGAAAGACUGUUUCCAAAUAGACCCCCGGCAUUCUUCCUUCCAAGAACUUCCCACCUUGCUCUUGGGGAGACUCAAACUCACAACCUCUCGGUUGGAAAUGGGGUUUGCUUACCAUCAGAGCAACCCCUCUUAUCCUUAUGGUAAUCACUCAUGGAAAACAAUUACUUCCUUUGUGAUUUCUAUUAUUCUACACUCUAUAAGGAUCAACAACCAUUUUUUAGAGAAAAGAGAAUAAGAGAAAGUUUAGAAAGAAAAUAUUUUAUUGCACACUUAAUAUUUUUUCCAGGGAGAGAAUUCGAUAUUCCUCCUGAACUUUGAAGGUCCCAUUUUAUAAGUAAAGAAGAUGACUAUAUACUAGUAAUACA